Molecule: long non-coding RNA, 1101 nt
Organism: Serinus canaria (Common canary)
Lineage: Eukaryota; Metazoa; Chordata; Aves; Passeriformes; Fringillidae
Exons: 4
Source: RefSeq, a predicted model, not a curated record
AUGGCAAAAGCUGAGUUUAAUUAGCAGCAAAUUGGGCUGAGAGCUGCCAGUCUGGUUUCUGCUCAGGACUUGUGAUGUUCCUGGUGGGAAGUGAUAAAAGGGUCUGUGGGGGGAGCAACACUUCUGCUGGCUGGCAUUUUGGGAUGGAAGUUUGAGAGUUCCCACUUCAACACCGUGCUCUGGUGUCUUGGGAUAAUUGAAAAGGAAACUGGGAUUUGGGAGCACAGCCUGUGACUCUGAAAUCCUGGGGUUUGCUGUUCUCUGGGGUGAUGGUGUUCCUCAAUCCCCACUUCUCCAUCACCAAAUGGAGCAUUUAAAGGGCCAUUCUGGGGCAGCACGGUGGAUUUUUACACUGGGUUUAAUUUAAGUUGGGGUGGGAUUGGAUUCAUGCUCAGGUACAGGAUAUUUGGGGUGUGAUGGAUCCAUGCACAGGUACAGGAUAUUUGGGGUGUGAUGGGAUUGGAUCCUUGCACAGGGACAGGAUAUUUGGGAUGUGAUGGAUCCUUGCUCAGGUACAGGAUAUUUGGGGUGUGAUGGGAUUGGAUCCAUGCUCAGGUACAGGAUAUUUGGGGUGUGAUGGGAUUGGAUCCAUGCUCAGGUACAGGAUAUUUGGGGUGUGAUGGAUCCAUGCUCAGGUACAGGAUAUUUGGGGUGUGAUGGGAUUGGAUCCUUGCACAGGUACAGGAUAUUUGGGAUGUGAUGGAUCCUUGCUCAGGUACAGGAUAUUUGGGGUGUGAUGGGAUUGGAUCCUUGCACAGGUACAGGAUAUUUGGGAUGUGAUGGAUCCUUGCUCAGGUACAGGAUAUUUGGGGUGUGAUGGGAUUGGAUCCUUGCACAGGUACAGGAUAUUUGGGGUGUGAUGGGAUUGGAUCCAUGCUCAGGUACAGGAUAUUUGGGGUGUGAUGGGAUUGGAUUCAUGCUCAGGUACAGGAUAUUUGGGGUGUGAUGGGAUUGGAUCCAUGCUCAGGUACAGGAUAUUUGGGAUGUGAUGGAUCCUUGCACAGGUACAGGAUAUUUGGGGUGUGAUGGGAUUGGAUCCUUGCUCAGGUACAGGAUAUUUGGGGUGUGAUGGAUCCAUGCUCAGGUACAGGAUAUUUGGGA